Molecule: ribosomal RNA, 504 nt
Filed under: uncultured bacterium
Lineage: Bacteria
Description: bacterial SSU rRNA
Rfam family: Bacterial small subunit ribosomal RNA
Source: RNAcentral
AGGAUGAACGCUGGCGGCGUGCUUAACACAUGCAAGUCGAACGAAGCCAUUAUGAACGACUGGAGAGCUUGCUCGAAGGAAGGGAGUAAUGGACUGAGUGGCGGACGGGUGAGUAACGCGUGGGUAACCUGCCUCAUACAGGGGGAUAACAGUUAGAAAUGACUGCUAAUACCGCAUAAGCGCACAGUACCGCAUGGUACGGUGUGAAAAAACUCCGGUGGUAUGAGAUGGACCCGCGUCUGAUUAGCUAGUUGGUGAGGUAACGGCCCACCAAGGCGACGAUCAGUAGCCGGCUUGAGAGAGUGAACGGCCACAUUGGGACUGAGACACGGCCCAAACUCCUACGGGAGGCAGCAGUGGGGAGUAUUGCACAAUGGGGGAAACCCUGAUGCCAGCGACGCCGCGUGAGUGAAGAAGUAUUUCGGUAUGUAAAGCUCUAUCAGCAGGGAAGAUAAUGACGGUACCUGACUAAGAAGCCCCGGCUAACUACGUGCCAGCCGCCGC